RNAcentral lists this ribosomal RNA (426 nucleotides) under uncultured eukaryote. Its description in RNAcentral is "SSU rRNA". It matches the Rfam family "Eukaryotic small subunit ribosomal RNA", at positions 166 to 597 of the family's 1831-position model. The record is from RNAcentral.
AAUACAUGCUGUAAAACCUGACUUUUCGGAAAGGUUGUAUUUAUUAGAUAUCAAAACCAAUAAUCUUUCGGGAUUAUUGUGAUGAUUCAUAAUAACUGAUCGGAUCAAGGUGUACCUUGAUAGAUCAUUCAAGUUUCUGCCCUAUCAGCUUUCGAUGGUAGUGUAUUGGACUACCAUGGCAGUCACGGGUAACGGAGAAUUAGGGUUCGAUUCCGGAGAGGGAGCCUGAGAAACGGCUACCACAUCUACGGAAGGCAGCAGGCGCGUAAAUUACCCAAUCCUGAUUCAGGGAGGUAGUGACAAGAAAUAACAACUCGGGGCCUCACGGCUUACGAGAUUGCAAUGAGAACAAUUUAAAUCUCUUAGCGAGGAACAAUUGGAGGCAAGUCUGGUGCCAGCAGCCGCGGUAACUUCCAGCUCCAAUAG